AAAUUGAAGAGUUUGAUCAUGGCUCAGAUUGAACGCUGGCGGCAGGCCUAACACAUGCAAGUCGAACGGUAACAGGAAGCAGCUUGCUGCUUCGCUGACGAGUGGCGGACGGGUGAGUAAUGUCUGGGAAACUGCCUGAUGGAGGGGGAUAACUACUGGAAACGGUGGCUAAUACCGCAUAACGUCGCAAGACCAAAGAGGGGGACCUUCGGGCCUCUUGCCAUCAGAUGUGCCCAGAUGGGAUUAGCUUGUUGGUGAGGUAACGGCUCACCAAGGCGACGAUCCCUAGCUGGUCUGAGAGGAUGACCAGCCACACUGGAACUGAGACACGGUCCAGACUCCUACGGGAGGCAGCAGUGGGGAAUAUUGCACAAUGGGCGCAAGCCUGAUGCAGCCAUGCCGCGUGUAUGAAGAAGGCCUUCGGGUUGUAAAGUACUUUCAGCGGGGAGGAAGGUGUUGCGGUUAAUAACCGCAGCAAUUGACGUUACCCGCAGAAGAAGCACCGGCUAACUCCGUGCCAGCAGCCGCGGUAAUACGGAGGGUGCAAGCGUUAAUCGGA
This 559-nucleotide ribosomal RNA is filed under the name Salmonella enterica subsp. enterica serovar Infantis. RNAcentral's name for it is "bacterial SSU rRNA". It matches the Rfam family "Bacterial small subunit ribosomal RNA", at positions 1 to 549 of the family's 1533-position model. The record is from RNAcentral. RNAcentral also lists the same sequence under 1 other name. Lineage: Bacteria; Pseudomonadati; Pseudomonadota; Gammaproteobacteria; Enterobacterales; Enterobacteriaceae.